GUAACACGUAUGCAACCUACCCUUUACUGGGGCAUAGCUCAGAGAAAUCUGAAUUAAUUCCCCAUAAUACAAUUGAAUGGCAUCAUUUAAUUAUUAAAGCUGAGGCGGUAAAGGAUGGGCAUGCGUUGCAUUAGCUAGUUGGUGAGGUAAUGGCUCACCAAGGCUACGAUGCAUAGGGGUUCUGAGAGGAUGAUCCCCCACACUGGUACUGAGACACGGACCAGACUCCUACGGGAGGCAGCAGUAGGGAAUAUUGGUCAAUGGACGCAAGUCUGAACCAGCCAUGCCGCGUGCAGGAAGACGGCCCUCUGGGUUGUAAACUGCUUUUAUAUGGGAAGAAACCUCAUUAUGCGUAAUGAACUGACGGUACCAUAUGAAUAAGGAUCGGCUAACUUCGUGCCAGCAGCCGCGGUAAGACGAAGGAUCCAAGCGUUGUCCGGAUUUACUGGGUUUAAAGGGUGCGUAGGCGGAAUUUUAAGUCAGUGGUGAAAGCCCUUCGCUCAACGAAGGAACUGCCAUUGAAACUGAAAUUCUUGAAUACGGUUGAGGUAGAUGGAAUAUAACAUGUAGCGGUGAAAUGCUUAGAUAUGUUAUAGAACACCGAUUGCGAAGGCAGUCUACUAAGCCGUGAUUGACGCUGAGGCA
This 645-nucleotide ribosomal RNA is filed under the name uncultured bacterium. RNAcentral describes it as "bacterial SSU rRNA". It matches the Rfam family "Bacterial small subunit ribosomal RNA", at positions 110 to 753 of the family's 1533-position model. The record is from RNAcentral.